AGUGAACGCUGGCGGUAGGCCUAACACAUGCAAGUCGAACGGCAGCACAGUAAGAGCUUGCUCUUACGGGUGGCGAGUGGCGGACGGGUGAGGAAUACAUCGGAAUCUACUCUUUCGUGGGUGAUAACGUAGGGAAACUUACGCUAAUACCGCAUACGACCUACGGGGGAAAGCAGGGGAUCUUCGGACCUUGCGCGAUUGAAUGAGCCGAUGUCGGAUUAGCUAGAUGGCGGGGUAAAGGGCCACCAAGGCGACGAUCCGUAGCUGGUCUGAGGGGGUGAUCAGCCACCUUGGAACUGAGACUCGGUCCCGACUCCUGCGCGAGGCCGCAGUGCAGACUCUUGCGCGAUGCGCGAGAGCCUGAUCCAGCCCUACCGCGUGGGUGCAGAAGGACUUAGGGUUGUAAAGCCCUUUUGUUGGGAAAGAAGAACAGCAGGUUAAUCCCCCGCUGUUAUGACGGUACCCAAAGAAUAAGCUCCGGCUAACUUCGUG
This 492-nucleotide ribosomal RNA is filed under the name uncultured bacterium. Its description in RNAcentral is "partial 16S ribosomal RNA". It matches the Rfam family "Bacterial small subunit ribosomal RNA", at positions 29 to 507 of the family's 1533-position model. The record is from RNAcentral.